GCUUGUCUCAAAGAUUAAGCCAUGCAUGUUCAAGUAUAGCAAGUGUACAGUGAAACUGCGAAUGGCUCAUUAAAUCAGUUAUAAUUUAUUUGAUAGUGAAAUUGUACAUGGAUAACCGUGGCAAUUCUAGGGCUAAUACAUGCGUCAAUGGUCGGUCGACCAGUAUUUAUUAGAUACAAAGCCAGCCGUCAGGAUCAGGUGAAUCAUGAUAACCAAACGAAUCGCAAGCGCAAGCGGCGAUGGUUCAUUCAAAUUUCUGCCCUAUCAAGUAUCGUAUGUAGGAUAGAGGCCUACAUAGCUUAUGACGGGUGACGGAGAAUUAGGGUUCGAUUCCGGAGAGGGAGCCUGAGAAACGGCUACCACAUCCAAGGAAGGCAGCAGG
Molecule: ribosomal RNA, 382 nt
Filed under: uncultured fungus
Lineage: Eukaryota; Fungi
Description: partial small subunit ribosomal RNA
Rfam family: Eukaryotic small subunit ribosomal RNA
Source: RNAcentral